Molecule: ribosomal RNA, 690 nt
Filed under: uncultured Acidobacteriota bacterium
Lineage: Bacteria; Pseudomonadati; Acidobacteriota
Description: bacterial SSU rRNA
Rfam family: Bacterial small subunit ribosomal RNA
Source: RNAcentral
GAUCCUGGCUCAGAAUCAACGCUGGCGGCGUGCCUAACACAUGCAAGUCGCACGAGAAAGGGUAGCAAUACCUGAGUAAAGUGGCGCACGGGUGAGUAACACGUGAAUCAUCUACCUCCGAGUGGGGAAUAACUGAGAGAAAUCUUAGCUAAUACCGCAUAACACUUACGAGUCAAAGCAGCAAUGCGCUUGGAGAGGAGUUCGCGGCAGAUUAGUUAGUUGGCGGGGUAAUGGCCCACCAAGACGAUGAUCUGUAUCCGGCCUGAGAGGGCGCACGGACACACUGGAACUGAAACACGGUCCAGACUCCUACGGGAGGCAGCAGUGGGGAAUUUUGCGCAAUGGGGGAAACCCUGACGCAGCAACGCCGCGUGGAGGAUGAAAUCCCUUGGGAUGUAAACUCCUUUCGAUAGGGAAGAUAAUGACGGUACCUAUAGAAGAAGCCCCGGCUAACUUCGUGCCAGCAGCCGCGGUAAUACGAGGGGGGCAAGCGUUGUUCGGAUUUAUUGGGCGUAAGGGGUGCGUAGGCGGUUUGGCAAGUCUUGUGUGAAAUCUUCGGGCUCAACCCGAAGCCUGCACAAGAAACUGCCGGGCUUGAGUACGGGAGAGGUGAGUGGAAUUUCCGGUGCAGCGGUGAAAUGCGUAGAUAUCGGAAGGAACACCUGUGGCGAAAGCGGCUCACUGGACCCA